GCCGGGCAUGGUGGCACAUGCCUGUAGUCCCAGCUACUCGGAGGCUGAGGCUGGAGGAUUGCUUGAGCCCAGGAGUUCUGGGCUGUAGUGUGCUAUGCUGAUCGGGUGUCCGCACUAAGUUCGGCAUCAAUAUGGUGGCCUCCCAGAAGCAGGGGACCACCAGGUUGCCUAAGGAUGGGUGAACCGGCCCAGGUCGGAAACGGAGCAGGUCAAAACUCCCGUGCUGAUCGGUAGUGGGAUCGCGCCUGCGAACAGCCACUGCACUCCAGCCUAGGCAACAUAACGAGACCCUGUCUCU
RNAcentral lists this signal recognition particle RNA (298 nucleotides) under Aotus nancymaae (Ma's night monkey). RNAcentral's name for it is "Metazoan signal recognition particle RNA (ENSANAG00000011700.1)". It matches the Rfam family "Metazoan signal recognition particle RNA". Rfam says of the family: The signal recognition particle (SRP) is a universally conserved ribonucleoprotein. It is involved in the co-translational targeting of proteins to membranes. Lineage: Eukaryota; Metazoa; Chordata; Mammalia; Primates; Aotidae. The record is from RNAcentral.